This 72-nucleotide transfer RNA is filed under the name Camelus ferus (Wild Bactrian camel). It matches the Rfam family "tRNA". From Rfam's summary of the family: Transfer RNA (tRNA) molecules are approximately 80 nucleotides in length. Their secondary structure includes four short double-helical elements and three loops (D, anti-codon, and T loops). Lineage: Eukaryota; Metazoa; Chordata; Mammalia; Artiodactyla; Camelidae. The record is from Rfam by way of RNAcentral.
GAGGGUAUAGCUCUGUGGUAGAGCACGUGCUUGGCAUGCACAAAGUCUUGGGUUCAAUCCCCGGUACCUCUA